GAGCCAGAACAAGGCUGAGCUCUCAGGACUCCCAUUUUUCUCCCAUGUGGAAAUCCACUGAUGAAAGGUAGAGCUGUGUCUCCUUUGAGUGCUGAUGUCACUCACUCACCUCUUGGCUCUACUCACCUUGAAGACUGGUGUCUGGCAUGUCUUGAGCAGUUUGUACUGUCUGGGAGAGUCUAAGACCUAUGUUCCCUUACAUAUCCCAAACAAAAUGGUUAAGAAUGAUUCUUGGUAAUGGAUAGGAUGACACUCAUUUAAUGAGCUGCCUGUUCUUCCUGUGUGGGCAUGGACUUCCUAGUUGAUCCAUGUUGACUCUUGCUCUGACCUAGACAACACCCUUCUUUGCCCUGCUUUGUCUUGUUCUUGUACCUGCUGUGGUACUGUGUCACACCUGUAUCCCAGAACAGAAGUGUUUAAAGUAGGAGAACCUUAGACAGCUUCUCAAGCCUGUGCCUUUGUCUUGUUCUGUGCCAAUCUUCCUCUAUGUAGAGAGAUAAGGUCAGUCUGGUUUUGAAAUCACACAGACUGGCCUGCCUCUGUAUUGUAGAUUUUUUCCAUGUCCACCAGACUUGUAUCUAAUCUGAGCUUUCUUAAGGAAAUGAUGUAUCAGGAAUUUCAUAGAUAUGUACUGUAUUUAGCUAAGAAUUCAUUCCUCCUCUAGCUCUUCCUGUUCCCCUCUACUCCUUGUAUAAGUCAUUACUUCUUGUUUUUAUAUAACCAUUAAGCACAUAUGCAUAUAUGA
Peromyscus maniculatus bairdii (prairie deer mouse) is the source of this 745-nucleotide non-coding RNA. The record is from RefSeq and is a predicted model, not a curated record. Lineage: Eukaryota; Metazoa; Chordata; Mammalia; Rodentia; Cricetidae.